RNAcentral lists this ribosomal RNA (564 nucleotides) under uncultured Glomeromycotina. RNAcentral's name for it is "SSU rRNA". It matches the Rfam family "Eukaryotic small subunit ribosomal RNA", at positions 548 to 1114 of the family's 1831-position model. The record is from RNAcentral. Lineage: Eukaryota; Fungi; Glomeromycota.
UUGGAGGGCAAGUCUGGUGCCAGCAGCCGCGGUAAUUCCAGCUCCAAUAGCGUAUAUUAAAGUUGUUGCAGUUAAAAAGCUCGUAGUUGAAUUUCGGGAUCAGAGUGUCGGUCGUGCCUCGGUACGCACUGGUAUUAUUGGUUCCUACCUUCUGAAGAACUGCGAUGUCAUUAAUUUGGUGUCGUGGGGAAUCAGGACUGUUACUUUGAAAAAAUUUGAGUGUUUAAAGCAGGCUUACGCUUGAAUACAUUAGCAUGGAAUAAUGAAAUAGGACGUUUGAUUCUAUUUUGUUGGUUUCUAGGAUUGACGUAAUGAUUAAUAGGGAUAGUUGGGGGCAUUAGUAUUCAAUUGUCAGAGGUGAAAUUCUUGGAUUUAUUGAAGACUAACUACUGCGAAAGCAUUUGCCAAGGAUGUUUUCAUUAAUCAAGAACGAAAGUUAGGGGAUCGAAGACGAUCAGAUACCGUCGUAGUCUUAACCAUAAACUAUGCCGACUAGGGAUCGGAUGAUGUUAAUUUUUUAAUGACUCAUUCGGCGCCUUACGGGAAACCAAAGUGUUUGGGUUC